This 68-nucleotide transfer RNA is filed under the name Loxodonta africana (African savanna elephant). It matches the Rfam family "tRNA". Rfam says of the family: Transfer RNA (tRNA) molecules are approximately 80 nucleotides in length. Their secondary structure includes four short double-helical elements and three loops (D, anti-codon, and T loops). Lineage: Eukaryota; Metazoa; Chordata; Mammalia; Proboscidea; Elephantidae. The record is from Rfam by way of RNAcentral.
ACCUCCGUGGUGUAAUAGUGAGCACCCUGGACUCUGAAUCCAGUGAUAGAGUUAAAAUCUCGGUGGGA